RNAcentral lists this ribosomal RNA (253 nucleotides) under uncultured bacterium. RNAcentral describes it as "partial 16S ribosomal RNA". It matches the Rfam family "Bacterial small subunit ribosomal RNA", at positions 524 to 776 of the family's 1533-position model. The record is from RNAcentral.
UACGGAGGGGGCGAGCGUUAUUCGGAAUUAUUGGGCGUAAAGGGCGCGUAGGCGGCUUGACAAGUCAAAGGUGAAAUCCCUCGGCUCAACUGAGGAACUGCCUUUGAUACAGCACGUCUUGAGUCCGGAAGAGGUGGGUGGAAUUCCUAGUGUAGAGGAGAAAUUCGUAGAUAUUAGGAAGAACACCGGUGGCGAAGGCGGCCCACUGGUCCGGUACUGACGCUGAGGUGCGAAAGCGUGGGGAGCAAACAGG